UUAAUUGGAGAGUCAAAGUAUAUAUUUUUGAAAAUUAAAUUUUUAAAUAUUUUUAGCUAAAUAUAAAAAAUAAUUUUUUAUUUAUUUAAUAAUUAAGCAUAUAUUAAGUUAGAAAGGGAAUGUCAAGAUACUUUAAUUAAUUUUCCAUGAUAAAUUUGUAGGAAAAUGAAAAUUUGAAAUAAGAUUAAUAAACAUAUCUACAAAAUCGAAAGACAAUAAACCCUCGGAUCAAUUUUGAAUUUAAUUGUAUAAAUAAGAGUAGUUUUUAUGGUGUUACUAUCAUUUUUCCACGACUCAUCAUUUUUGUAGCAUUUAAUAAGCUCGUAUAAUUGUUCUAAUUUUGCAAAUGGAUAAAAAUUUGUAGAGUAACUAAAAUUUAAAUUAGGGAUAAAAUUGACAAAAAAAAUUGAUGUGAGGACUACCAAAAUCUCACGUUCUCUCUUAUAUAUAGUAGUAAAGUAAUAUAUAUGAAAAGUGAUAAUCAAGAAUUUGAAGGGUAAUUAUGACUUUUUACGGAUUUAUCUCAAGGAUAAAUUAAGGUGGGAUUAUUAUACCACCAAAUGUAUGGGAUAACUUAUCUCGAAUUAGGCAACCAAACAAAGUACUAAAAUUUUUAUUUGAAAAUUAUUAUUUUAUCCCAAAACUAUUUGUAUUAGUACCUCACACCAAACGAUCCCUUAAAAUAUUUGUUUGAUGGUUAUAAAAUCAUGUUAUGAGAUGAACUGCUUAGUUGUUGUCAAAUUUAUUAAAGAAGAAGUUAUAUGAUGUCAUCCUCUUAGGACCAUUAUUGAAGACUAGUUAACUUAUUCGCGCUCCGCGAGCAUAAAAAAGACCAUAAAUUUAAGAUAUAUUAACUCCAAAAUUCUAUAUGUCAUAAACUUUAAUAAUUUUUAAAUUAAACAUAAUUGUAAAAUUAUAAAACAUCAUAUAAUGCUAAGAACACUAACUAUUUUGAGAAAUAUACAUAUGACAAUAUAAACGAAAAUUAUUUCUUUAUCGAUUUUUAUCUCUGUUUCAAGGAACAUUGAAGAUUACCUAUUUUUUUUACAUAUCAUGUAUCAAACUAUCAAUUAAAGAACAAUUCAAUUAAAUAUACUUCAAACUCCUAAUUGUGUGACCUACAAAAACUUUUCAAAAAAGUUAGGAAGAAAAGGAUUUAUCAUGAUUUAAUUUACAAUCAAAUGGCAGGACCAUAUCUCCAAAUUAAUUACUUCUCUACGUAUAUAUAUUUUUUUUUUACAGAAAGUAGAAAACAAUAAGGAGAAAAUACCAAUGUUAAAAGUUUAUCAGUUCACAUGAAUUUUUGUUAAAUAAUUUCUCACCUUAUAUAUAUUAGAGACAAUAUAUCAUAGUGUGUUUCUUGUGGCUACGCCUUUUACCUAUUAAAUUUUUGGGCAAAAAUUCUUUCUUAAAUUUUCAUUGUUUCAUCCUCUUAUAUCACUUCUAGCCAAUUCGAUAGAGCAACAAAAUAACGAAAAAGAACAUUUAAUGACUACAUCAUGACAAAUGACACGAUAACACAAAAAGAGAAACUAAAAAUAAGUAUUGAUCAAAUCACAAAGAACUACUUAUUACACAGAAAACAUACAUAUUAGGAAGAAAAUAUUUGCGUACAUAUUCAUAGAACACCUUCUAAAUUAAGACAACAAACAAACAAUAGCUAGCAAUACUUUGAGGAUCAACAUCUUGUCGGAUCAUUAGAAUGACCUCAACCUUUGUGUCUCUCUCAAAUGCAUGCAAAUGGGUUUUCAUUCAUUUUACAAAAAUUUGUCAUAUCUUUUCAAGAAGAUAAGCAACAUUUCUUGGAAGAGCAAUUUGAUAUGAAUUUUGCAAAAUCAGAUAUCAGAUAAAACAAAUAAAAAAAAAAGCCAAUCAAAGAGACAUAAAAGAUGAAGAAUGUGAAAAAAUGAAAUAGAAUGAUCAUUAUAUAUAGCUCAAAAAAGAUUUUUAUUAAUGUGAUUUUAAUGUGUCAUAAACUCGUAUAUUAAAUAAUUGAGAGUUAUGAAUAUGAAAGGAUUGAGAGUUAAUAUUAUAAAUAUCAAUUAAGGAGAUGAUUUUGAAAAAUUAAAUAAUUGAAAGAAAUGUGAGAAAAAGUUUCAAAAAAGUUAUGAUUUAAAAUAUUGAUUAUUCUUUAUGAUAUGUCGCUGAAUCUCAUUCUACAAGCCUCACUGAAUUAAUUACUAACAAUUCAAAUUUGUGACAAAGUGAUUAAAAAACUUUCUUGUAAAAAUAAUAUACAUAAAUUUAACAUAAAAAUAAAAAAGAAUUUUACUACAUGAAAUAUUUUCUCGUGAAACUAUAUAUAUCUUCUCACCCUUACCUAACAAAGAAAAUAAUUAGACAUCUAUAAAGUUUCACGAAGAGAAUUUUAAUUUUCUCAACUUGCAUAUAUUUUACGCAAUAAAAAUAUUUUUUAUAUAGAUUAAUAAAUAAAAAAUACCUUCUCUUAUAAGUUGCAUAUAGUGAGCUAUUCUUAUAAACAUUUUAAAUGAAAAAAAAUUAUAAAUGUCAAAACAAAUAAUUUCAUCCUGACCUUUGCUUAAUAUAAUAUCUAUUGUGACAACAACUAAAUGAGCAUUAUUUAUAAGAUGUAAUUGUCAUAAAGAAAGAAUAGCAAUUAAAAUAGAAUUAUGGGUGAUAAUAAAUUUUUCUUGUCAUGUAAAAUUAAGAAUAAAAGAACUUUCAGUCCCAAUAAUAAAAACAUUUAUUUUUGGAUGAGUGCUGAUUUAAGUUAAUGAAGAGAAGAAUUAAGAUUUCUCUUUUGAAAAAAAAAAUGAAUAGACAGAGAAAGAGAGACAACCAACUUCAUAAAAUUAUUUCGAUCUUAACCCAACAUUUUUUUAUUCUUUCAAAUUGUAAGUUCAAUAUAUCCCUACAAAUAAAAAAUAAAAUUUUUUUAAAUAGUUAAUUAGCGAAAAAAUUUAUAAAAUAUAAAAAAUUGAGGACUCCAAUCUUACACAUCAAUAAACAACUUUCUUAUGAAUUAAAAUGUAGUUUAAAAAUUCUAAAUAAUUUUAUAUUCCCACAUUCGAUCAAUAAAUUUAUUAAAAUUUAUCUAUAUAAUUGUGAAAAGAUACAUAGAUAUUUUUUUAAGUAGCACAUGUAUAUUCAUUGAGUCUUUCUCAGCUUCUACUGUAAAAAAUAAUUUAAUCAUUUUACACAAAAAGUGAACCCCACCUAAAAAAAAAAAAGGAAGAAGAAGAAUAGUUAAACUAAAAGUUAAUCUGGUGCACUAAAUUUUUUGCAUGUGCAGGUUUUGAGAAGAAUAGUUAAUUAACUAAUAUAAAAACUUUAAAGAAUAUUACAUGAAAAUUUGAAGAGGAAAGAAGAACU
Molecule: long non-coding RNA, 3333 nt
Filed under: Capsicum annuum
Lineage: Eukaryota; Viridiplantae; Streptophyta; Magnoliopsida; Solanales; Solanaceae
Description: long non-coding RNA (CANN_LNC022533)
Source: RNAcentral